AGAGUUUGAUCAUGGCUCAGAUUGAACGCUGGCGGCAGGCCUAACACAUGCAAGUCGAACGGUAACAGGAAUCAGCUUGCUGAUUUGCUGACGAGUGGCGGACGGGUGAGUAAUGUCUGGGAAACUGGAGGGCUCCUUAUGGAGGGGGAUAACUACUGGAAACGGUAGCUAAUACCGCAUAACGUCGCAAGACCAAAGAGGGGGACCUGGGCCUCUUGCCAUCGGAUGUGCCCAGAUGGGAUUAGCUAGUAGGUGGGGUAACGGCUCACCUAGGCGACGAUCCCUAGCUGGUCUGAGAGGAUGACCAGCCACACUGGAACUGAGACACGGUCCAGACUCCUACGGGAGGCAGCAGUGGGGAAUAUUGCACAAUGGGCGCAAGCCUGAUGCAGCCAUGCCGCGUGUAUGAAGAAGGCCUUCGGGUUGUAAAGUACUUUCAGCGGGGAGGAAGGGAGUAAAGUUAAUACCUUUGCUCAUUGACGUUACCCGCAGAAGAAGCACCGGCUAACUCCGUGCCAGCAGCCGCGGUAAUACGGAGGGUGCAAGCGUUAAUCGGAAUUACUGGGCGUAAAGCGCACGCAGGCGGUUUGUUAAGUCAGAUGUGAAAUCCCCGGGCUCAACCUGGGAACUGCAUCUGAUACUGGCAAGCUUGAGUCUCGUAGAGGGGGGUAGAAUUCCAGGUGUAGCGGUGAAAUGCGUAGAGAUCUGGAGGAAUACCGGUGGCGAAGGCGGCCCCCUGGACGAAGACUGACGCUCAGGUGCGAAAGCGUGGGGAGCAAACAGGAUUAGAUACCCUGGUAGUCCACGCCGUAAACGAUGUCGACUUGGAGGUUGUGCCCUUGAGGCGUGGCUUCCGGAGCUAACGCGUUAAGUCGACCGCCUGGGGAGUACGGCCGCAAGGUUAAAACUCAAAUGAAUUGACGGGGGCCCGCACAAGCGGUGGAGCAUGUGGUUUAAUUCGAUGCAACGCGAAGAACCUUACCUGGUCUUGACAUCCACGGAAGUUUUCAGAGAUGAGAAUGUGCCUUCGGGAACCGUGAGACAGGUGCUGCAUGGCUGUCGUCAGCUCGUGUUGUGAAAUGUUGGGUUAAGUCCCGCAACGAGCGCAACCCUUAUCCUUUGUUGCCAGCGGUCCGGCCGGGAACUCAAAGGAGACUGCCAGUGAUAAACUGGAGGAAGGUGGGGAUGACGUCAAGUCAUCAUGGCCCUUACGACCAGGGCUACACACGUGCUACAAUGGCGCAUACAAAGAGAAGCGACCUCGCGAGAGCAAGCGGACCUCAUAAAGUGCGUCGUAGUCCGGAUUGGAGUCUGCAACUCGACUCCAUGAAGUCGGAAUCGCUAGUAAUCGUGGAUCAGAAUGCCACGGUGAAUACGUUCCCGGGCCUUGUACACACCGCCCGUCACACCAUGGGAGUGGGUUGCAAAAGAAGUAGGUAGCUUAACCUUCGGGAGGGCGCUUACCACUUUGUGAUUCAUGACUGGGGUGAAGUCGUAACAAGGUAACCGUAGGGGAACCUGCGGUUG
RNAcentral lists this ribosomal RNA (1527 nucleotides) under Escherichia coli TOP293-1. RNAcentral describes it as "bacterial SSU rRNA". It matches the Rfam family "Bacterial small subunit ribosomal RNA". Lineage: Bacteria; Pseudomonadati; Pseudomonadota; Gammaproteobacteria; Enterobacterales; Enterobacteriaceae. The record is from RNAcentral.